This 501-nucleotide ribosomal RNA is filed under the name uncultured bacterium. RNAcentral's name for it is "bacterial SSU rRNA". It matches the Rfam family "Bacterial small subunit ribosomal RNA", at positions 32 to 508 of the family's 1533-position model. The record is from RNAcentral.
AAUCAACGCUGGCGGCGUGCCUCAGACAUGCAAGUCGAACGCGAAAGCCCCCUUCGGGGGGCAAGUAGAGUGGCGCACGGGUGAGUAACACGUAGGUAAUCUACCUUUGGAUGGGGAAUAACAACCGGAAACGGUUGCUAAUACCGCAUAAUGCAGCGGCACCUAAUGGUGACAGUUGUUAAAGCGGGGGAUCGCAAGACCUCGCGUCUGAAGAGGAGCCUGCGGCGGAUUAGCUAGUUGGUAAGGUAACGGCUUACCAAGGCUAUGAUCCGUAGCCGGCCUGAGAGGGCGGUCGGCCACACUGACACUGACAUACGGGUCAGACUCCUACGGGAGGCAGCAGUCGGGAAUUUUGGGCAAUGGGCGAAAGCCUGACCCAGCAACGCCGCGUGAAGGAUGAAAUCCUUCGGGAUGUAAACUUCGCAAGAACAGGAAGAAUAAGUAAGGGUUAAUAUCUCUUACGAUGACGGUACUGUUUGUAAGCUCCGGCUAACUCCGUGC